RNAcentral lists this ribosomal RNA (250 nucleotides) under uncultured bacterium. RNAcentral's name for it is "partial 16S ribosomal RNA". It matches the Rfam family "Bacterial small subunit ribosomal RNA", at positions 524 to 773 of the family's 1533-position model. The record is from RNAcentral.
UACGUAGGUGGCAAGCGUUAUCCGGAAUUAUUGGGCGUAAAGCGCACGCAGGUGGCGAGCUAAGUCUGACGUGAAAGCUCCUGGCUUAACUGGGAGAGGUCGUUGGAAACUGGCUGGCUUGAGGCGAGGAGAGGGGUGCAGAAUUCCCGGUGUAGUGGUGGAAUGCGUAGAUAUCGGGGGGAAUACCAGUGGCGAAAGCGGCACCCUGGCCUUGGCCUGACGCUCAGGUGCGAAAGCGUGGGGAGCGAAC